CUAAUUAAUUGUAAUUGUAAUUAACCCAAGUGAUGAUCUUAAACAAAGUGGGGAAACUAUGCAAAAAUAUAAGAAUUUUUGAAGGGGACCAAUACUAACAAGGGGGGUCAUUACUUAUUCACAUAGGGCCAGGUAACUUUGAAUAUAUAUUUUUUUGCCUAGCUCCUUCUGGACCUGGACAACUUGCUGUGAUUGAUGGAACCAUGAAUUCUGCUCUUUAACAGAAAAUCCUGAAGGAGAAUGUUCAGCCAUCAGCUUGUGACCUCAAGCCGAAGCACACUUGGGUUCUGCAGCAAGAUAAGCAAGGAUGAACAUGUUGACUUGCUGAGAAUGCUGAUGGAAGAAAGAUAGGGAACCCACCUUCUCUUACUUGGAUGGUUGUUUCCUGCCCUUGCAAAUGGACCACAGCGGGCUGAAAAGUGACACAUGCUACCUGGAAUUCUUUAGUUUUCAUCCUAUCAGGAACUCCUGCAACAAAAAGAAAGACAUGAUGGAAUUCUGACCCAUACCACUGCAGUAUAAGAAAAGCUGACACCAUUGUGACGAACUCAAAACAAGCAAUGCCCUAGACUACAGAGAGUUCCCUCCUAAUCCCGCACAAUGUUUGACACCCAGCAUUAGAAAAUCUCACAGUUAAGGCUAUGAAUUUAUUCAUUUUGACAACUUGAGCCUCCUCUGAGCGUGGGAACAUGGCUACACGAAGGCUUUAUGCUGUGUAAUCAAAGAGCGGGCCCCAAAACUUGAGUUUGAGCUGUUGUAGUAUAGUAACCACUCAUCUUCCAUUUUGAACUUAGUACCUGCUGGGCCUUGAGCACCUGGAGGCCCCUGUGGUCCAGGGGGGCCGGGAGGUCCUGUAGGACCCACAGCAUUACUUCCUGGGAUG
This is a long non-coding RNA of Phyllopteryx taeniolatus (common seadragon), 883 nucleotides long. RefSeq lists it as uncharacterized. The record is from RefSeq and is a predicted model, not a curated record. The transcript has 3 exons. NCBI's taxonomy places the organism in Eukaryota, Metazoa, Chordata, Actinopteri, Syngnathiformes, Syngnathidae.